ACUCCUACGGAAGGCAGCAGUGGGGAAUAUUGCACAAUGGGCGCAAGCCUGAUGCAGCCAUGCCGCGUGUAUGAAGAAGGCCUUCGGGUUGUAAAGUACUUUCAGCGGGGAGGAAGGGAGUAAAGUUAAUACCUUUGCUCAUUGACGUUACCCGCAGAAGAAGCACCGGCUAACUCCGUGCCAGCAGCCGCGGUAAUACA
RNAcentral lists this ribosomal RNA (200 nucleotides) under uncultured bacterium. RNAcentral's name for it is "partial 16S ribosomal RNA". It matches the Rfam family "Bacterial small subunit ribosomal RNA", at positions 335 to 527 of the family's 1533-position model. The record is from RNAcentral.